UACGUAGGUGGCAAGCGUUGUCCGGAUUUACUGGGCGUAAAGAGCGCGCAGGCGGUCGAAUAAGUCGAAUGUGAAAGCCCCCGGCUCAACUGGGGAGGGUCACUCGAUACUGAUCGACUUGAAGGCAGGAGAGGGAAGCGGAAUUCCCGGUGUAGUGGUGAAAUGCGUAGACAUCGGGAGGAACACCAGUGGCGAAGGCGGCUUCCUGGCCUGUUCUUGACGCUGAGGCGCGAAAGCUAGGGGAGCAAACGGG
RNAcentral lists this ribosomal RNA (253 nucleotides) under uncultured bacterium. RNAcentral describes it as "partial 16S ribosomal RNA". It matches the Rfam family "Bacterial small subunit ribosomal RNA", at positions 524 to 776 of the family's 1533-position model. The record is from RNAcentral.